CGGCCGGGCACGGUGGCUCACGCCUGUAAUCCCAGCACUUUGGGAGGCCGAGGCAGGCGGAUCACCUGAGGUCAGGAGUUCAAGACCAGGCUGGCCAACGUGGUGAAACCACAUCUCUACUAAAAAUACAAAAAUUAGCCGGGCAUGGUGAUGCACACCUGUGGUCCCAGCUGCUAGGGAGACUGAAGCAGGAGAAUGGCUUGAACUCGCGAGGUGGAGGUUGCAGUGAGCCAAGAUCACGCCAUUGCACUCCAGCCUGGGCGACAGAGCAAGGCUGAGUUUUUGAGACUCCGUCUCAAAAAAUAAAAUAAGAAGGAAAUUUAAAAAACAGAUUAUCAGAUUGAGUACAUUGGUUAGCUGAUCCAAAAUACGCCCAGAUAGGUUUUUUUGGUCUUGUUUUAUUUUGUUGUUGUUUUGUUUUGAGACAGAGUCUCGCUCUGUCGCUCAAGCUGGAGUGCAGUGGCACGAUCUCGGCUCACUGCAAACUCCGCCUCCCGGGUUCAAGAGAUUCUCCUGCCUCAGCCCUCCUGAGUAGCUGGGAUUACAGGAUCACACCACCAUGCCCGGCUAAAUUUUUUUUGUAUUUUUAGUAGAGACAGGGUUUCACUUUGGGAGGCCCAGGCGGGCGGAUCACAAGGUCAGGGAUAGGUUUAAGUAAUUGAAAACUCAAACUUGUUAGUUACUAGGUGGUACCUAUUAUUUUCCCUAACACAUCUCAAAGAAUUUCUGGACUAGUGAUAUCUGUGAACUUUGUCAAAGUAUUAUGUUUUAGAUAAAUGGGAGUUUAGAAUAAUGAUGAGUUCUUUAUAUUUUAGUUGGAAAGAAUUAGUUAGAUGCACAGUAAAGGAAAGGAUAGUGGAACAAAAAUACCACAUUCUGUUCCUAUUCUCAUUUUCUUCCCAUCAUUAAUGGGAAUAAAAUGGUUUCAAAGUAAACAAUGAGGCUGGGCACGGUGGCUCAUGCAUGGAAUCCCAGCACUUUGGGAGGCCGAGGUGGGCAGAUCACAAGGUCGGGAGUUCAAGACCAGCCUGGCAAUAUGGUGAAAACCCCAUCUCUGCUAAAAAGACAAAAAAAAGAUAGUCAGCAUGGUGGCGCACGCCUGUAAUCCCAGCUACUCAGGAGGCUGAGGCAGG
Molecule: long non-coding RNA, 1133 nt
Filed under: Homo sapiens (human)
Lineage: Eukaryota; Metazoa; Chordata; Mammalia; Primates; Hominidae
Description: HSALNT0243707
Source: RNAcentral